This is a small nuclear RNA of Molossus molossus (Pallas's mastiff bat), 106 nucleotides long. NCBI's taxonomy places the organism in Eukaryota, Metazoa, Chordata, Mammalia, Chiroptera, Molossidae. The record is from RefSeq and is a predicted model, not a curated record.
GUGCUCGCCUUGGCAGCAUAUAGACUAAAACUGGAGCAACACAGAGAAGAUUAGCAUGGCCCCUGUGCAAGAUGACACACAAAUUCAUGAAGUGUUUCAUUUUUUA